UACGGGAGGGGCAAGCGUUAUCCAGCAUGACUGGGCGUAAAGAGUCCGUAGACUGUAAAGUAAGUUUUUUGUUAAAAUUUAAAACUUAAUUUUAAAAGAGCGAUUUAUACUGCUUUACUUUGAGUUUAAUACAGAAAAGUGGAAUUUUAUACGAAAGGGUGAAAUCUACAGAUAUAUAAAGGAAUGCCGGUAGCGAAGGCGACUUUUUGGUAUAAACUGACGUUAAGGGACGAAAGUGUGGGUAGCAAACAGG
This 253-nucleotide ribosomal RNA is filed under the name uncultured bacterium. RNAcentral describes it as "partial 16S ribosomal RNA". It matches the Rfam family "Bacterial small subunit ribosomal RNA", at positions 524 to 776 of the family's 1533-position model. The record is from RNAcentral.